This 429-nucleotide ribosomal RNA is filed under the name uncultured bacterium. RNAcentral's name for it is "bacterial SSU rRNA". It matches the Rfam family "Bacterial small subunit ribosomal RNA", at positions 355 to 775 of the family's 1533-position model. The record is from RNAcentral.
UAGGGAAUCUUCCGCAAUGGACGAAAGUCUGACGGAGCAACGCCGCGUGAGUGAUGAAGGCUUUCGGGUCGUAAAACUCUGUUGUUAGGGAAGAACAAGUGCUAGUUGAAUAAGCUGGCACCUUGACGGUACCUAACCAGAAAGCCACGGCUAACUACGUGCCAGCAGCCGCGGUAAUACGUAGGUGGCAAGCGUUAUCCGGAAUUAUUGGGCGUAAAGCGCGCGCAGGUGGUUUCUUAAGCCUGAUGUGAAAGCCCACGGCUCAACCGUGGAGGGUCAUUGGAAACUGGGAGACUUGAGUGCAGAAGAGGAAAGUGGAAUUCCAUGUGUAGCGGUGAAAUGCGUAGAGAUAUGGAGGAACACCAGUGGCGAAGGCGACUUUCUGGUCUGUAACUGACACUGAGGCGCGAAAGCGUGGGGAGCAAACAG